UAGAUAAGAACAUUCAGGGAAACAUGGUAUGCAAUAAAUCCCAGUUCCACUAACCCUCUGUAAGGUCUUUAACACAUUUAAAAAGUAAGGGUUCUUCCACUAGUUGGAAGGUCAAAAGUUUGAGAGGUCCACAAUCCUCCAACUAGUUAUUAACCUAGAACUUAACACUUUUUCCAUCUCCAAUAUGCCAAUGAAUCUCAUUCCUAAGCUCGUCCUAAAGGCUGUUAAGAUUUUUCUAAAGAUGAGACCAAUCCUUUGACUUCAUCGUGUGACUAAAGCAUCAUCCUAGUUGUACUUAUGCCUCAAGAUUUGUACCCAAAGAAGAUGAGACUUAGUGAUGAUAGUAAAGCGCACCUUU
RNAcentral lists this long non-coding RNA (358 nucleotides) under Carica papaya (papaya). Its description in RNAcentral is "long non-coding RNA (CPAP_LNC005539)". The record is from RNAcentral. Lineage: Eukaryota; Viridiplantae; Streptophyta; Magnoliopsida; Brassicales; Caricaceae.